CAUGCAGUCGAACGGCAGCACGGGAGCUUGCUCCUGGUGGCGAGUGGCGAACGGGUGAGUAAUAUAUCGGAACGUACCCUAGAGUGGGGGAUAACGCAGCGAAAGUUGCGCUAAUACCGCAUACGAUCUACGGAUGAAAGUGGGGGAUCGCAAGACCUCAUGCUCAUGGAGCGGCCGAUAUCUGAUUAGCUAGUUGGUAGGGUAAAAGCCUACCAAGGCUUCGAUCAGUAGCUGGUCUGAGAGGACGACCAGCCACACUGGAACUGAGACACGGUCCAGACUCCUACGGGAGGCAGCAGUGGGGAAUUUUGGACAAUGGGCGCAAGCCUGAUCCAGCAAUGCCGCGUGAGUGAAGAAGGCCUUCGGGUUGUAAAGCUCUUUUGUCAGGGAAGAAACGGUGGACUCUAAUACAGAUCACUAAUGACGGUACCUGAAGAAUAAGCACCGGCUAACUACGUGCCAGCAGCCGCGGUAAUACGUAGGGUGCAAGCGUUAAUCGGAAUUACUGGGCGUAAAGCGUGCGCAGGCGGUUUGGUAAGACAGAUGUGAAAUCCCUGGGCUCAACCUAGGAAUUGCAUUUGUGACUGCCCGACUAGAGUGUGUCAGAGGGGGGUAGAAUUCCACGUGUAGCAGUGAAAUGCGUAGAGAUGUGGAGGAAUACCGAUGGCGAAGGCAGCCCCCUGGGAUAACACUGACGCUCAUGCACGAAAGCGUGGGGAGCAAACAGGAUUAGAUACCCUGGUAGUCCACGCCCUAAACGAUGUCUACUAGUUGUUGGGUCUUAAUUGACUUAGUAACGCAGCUAACGCGUGAAGUAGACCGCCUGGGGAGUACGGUCGCAAGAUUAA
This 848-nucleotide ribosomal RNA is filed under the name Herminiimonas sp. SOK17a. RNAcentral describes it as "bacterial SSU rRNA". It matches the Rfam family "Bacterial small subunit ribosomal RNA", at positions 54 to 897 of the family's 1533-position model. Lineage: Bacteria; Pseudomonadati; Pseudomonadota; Betaproteobacteria; Burkholderiales; Oxalobacteraceae. The record is from RNAcentral.